UAACGAAUAUUGGGCAAUGGGCGAAAGCCUGACCCAGCAAUGCCGCGUGCAGGACGAAGUCCUUCGGGAUGUAAACUGCUGUCAGGGGUCCGCAAGCGAAGGGGUCCAACAGGCCCUGGAGUUGAGCAGCCCCAGAGGAAGCCUCGACUAACUCUGUGCCAGCAGUCGCGGUAAGACAGAGGAGGCAAGCGUUGUUCGGAAUCACUGGGCUUAAAGCGCGGGUAGGCGGCUGAGAAAGUGGCGUGUGAAAUCCCGCGGCUCAAC
RNAcentral lists this ribosomal RNA (264 nucleotides) under uncultured prokaryote. RNAcentral describes it as "partial 16S ribosomal RNA". It matches the Rfam family "Bacterial small subunit ribosomal RNA", at positions 355 to 613 of the family's 1533-position model. The record is from RNAcentral.